GAUGAAGAACGUAGCGAAAUGCGAUAAGUAAUGCGAAUUGCAGAAUUUCCGUGAGUCAUCGAAUCUUUGAACGCACAUUGCGCCCUCGGGUAUUCCCGAGGGCAUGCCUGUCCGAGCGUCAUUAUCCAACCAUCAAGCUCGGCUUGCGGUUGAGCCCCGCACCGUCCCCGGGACGGUGGGCUCGAAACAUGUUGGGCGCCCCUGAGGUUCUCGGUGCAGCGAGCUCUCGAGCACGUGCCGGGCAACCUCUCUGGGCGUCGGCCAACCCCCCAAUUUCUCAGGUUGACCUCGGAUCAGGUAGGAAUACCCGCUGAACUUAAGCAUAUCAAUAAGCGGAGGA
RNAcentral lists this unclassified non-coding RNA (340 nucleotides) under soil metagenome. RNAcentral's name for it is "partial contains 5.8S ribosomal RNA, internal transcribed spacer 2, and large subunit ribosomal RNA". The stretch from base 1 to 121 matches the Rfam family "5.8S ribosomal RNA", at positions 35 to 154 of the family's 154-position model. The record is from RNAcentral.